GUGAUAAGAGAGAGAUCUCUGAAGCUGUAGACAUCUUUCACGAUCUCGAGCAAAAGGCAACCAACAGCGCAGCUCCUACUCAUGAAGGAAACUUCUCACUAUAUGAAGCAAAUGCUAUCGCUUUCUUCGCAUGCUAUGUAAAAUUUAAAAGCAUCAAAAAGUGUGAAGGUUGCGAAACUGAUAUGUGUAAGUCGCCUAUGGAUGCUCAUUCUGUGAAUGAGUUGUACAUAGAAUUCCGCGAAUAUGAGAAUGUUGAUAUCGAUGCGCCAACCAUUACGAAGCUAACCCGCCCAACUGAUAGGUACGCAGAAUUGGUUCGGUUGCAGAUAGUCGUUUUUGAUAGAGUUUGGAAGAAGCACUGGAGUUCUUCAUCUAUACUCCAGGAUAUCACUAUUGAUAUAAGGAGAGCUGUCGACUCGUCUGCUCCUGAUUGGUUUUGUCAGAGUCAUAGUUGCUACAAUCAUCGGGUAGCCGCUUUGGAAUUUUUAGUAAGGGUCAAGCUCUUUGCUAGGACAAGAUACAACAACCGGGAAGCGUGGAAGAAUAACAUUCAAUGUUAUAGUUGAAAUAGGAAGCUGCGAAAAGUCACUCAUCAGUGAAUCAAGCAUGUGAAUCUAUCUCUCACUCACACUCACCUGUCUACAUGAUAGCGUUAGGUUUCGAUUUCACCGCCUAAAGUUGCGUAAGACAUUCUCAUAUUUCGCCAAUCACCACUUUUCCCGUUCACUCAAACAUUCCAUAGAUUAAAUGCAAUUGCUUCCAAAGGCUUCUUCUACGUUUUUAAAGCGUUUCGUUGCAACAAUCGUUAUGCCGUGGUACCUUACACUCUCUCUAUUAUCUCUCACAUAUCCUCGAAAGCGCAUUCAGGGAUUGGGGCCUUCUGAAUAAGAAGUUCAUCGUGAUGUCGGUAUGUACAUCUUAAAAAAAAAUCGCGAGCACCAGAUAUUUUUUUGAUUGACUAAUAUUGAAUCUUCAGGUCGUUUUCUAGGAACGCAAUUUUACAGUACAGGGGAUCGUGCCUGAGCUACUCGGAGAAUUCAGCACAAUUAAGAUUUCUUGACGCAUCAUCGCAACGAAGCUCGAAUUGAUCGCUCUGAAUUGCGAGCUUCUGCUGCUUCAAAAGAAGGCAGAACAGCUCAGCUAGCAAAAAGAAAUUCUGCAAACAUCCCAUAUAAAGUAGAGGAAGACCUAAUGUAUGGAUCUGGGAUCGCCGAUUAGUGUAAAUUUCAGAUCACUGAAAGGGGUGGAAUGAUGUCAACCAGGGUGCACCGUUUUUUUGAAGCCCCCACUUCACCGGCCUGUAAUUUCGCGAAUUUUGGAUGUUUUUUUUAAUAUUUUUUUUUUAUAUUGUUUAAAUCCCAAUAAAUAAUAUAUAAAAAAAUGGAUACUGAAAAUGUUUUUCUUUCCUUUCUAGUCUUAGUUUGAAAAAUGGCUAAAAUUUAGGG
Diachasmimorpha longicaudata is the source of this 1445-nucleotide long non-coding RNA. RefSeq lists it as uncharacterized. The transcript is spliced from 3 exons. Lineage: Eukaryota; Metazoa; Arthropoda; Insecta; Hymenoptera; Braconidae. The record is from RefSeq and is a predicted model, not a curated record.